Long non-coding RNA from Ailuropoda melanoleuca (giant panda), 608 nucleotides. RefSeq lists it as uncharacterized. NCBI's taxonomy places the organism in Eukaryota, Metazoa, Chordata, Mammalia, Carnivora, Ursidae. The transcript has 3 exons. The record is from RefSeq and is a predicted model, not a curated record.
UCCUCCUAGAAACCUUUCUCACUUCCUUGGGCUAAGUGGUUGUGUUUCAAAGGAGCCAUCACAAAAUGUCGUUUUGUUCAUUUCUUUAUCAAAUAACAAACCCCAAGGGUCAUUUUCUAAUCUGGUGAAUGUGGAAGAGAUGAGCCCAAAAUAUUAAAUAAAGUGUGCAUUGUCUAAACUUAAAUAUAAAAUGUGCAUAAGGAAAUGAUAUAAUUUUCAUUCCAAAUAAGAAUUGAAAACAUUAUCUUGGCCUAUCUUGAAUGUUCUCAUAGAGUUACAGAGUACUAAAUCUUUUUUUUCCCCCCCAGAGUACUAAAUCUUCAUUUGAGUUUUGUUCCCCUUCAGGAAGAAAAAGUACAGUGUGAGAGAAUUCUUCUUCAGAUCCUUCAUGAAACAAGAUCUUCUAAAUCUGGUGCUCAGGCCUUGGACCUCUUCUUUUUUCCUAUCUAAACUCACCACCUUAGUGAGCCCAUGCAGUCUUGUGGUUUUAAUUUUCGUCUAUAGGAUGAUGACUACUUAAUUGCUAUCUAUUGAACUUCAGACACUCUAAUUGGAUAUGCAUGGGAGAGGAAACACAUGAAGAUGAAUAAAGAAUCCUCGUUAUCAGG